RNAcentral lists this ribosomal RNA (489 nucleotides) under uncultured Methylobacterium sp. Its description in RNAcentral is "bacterial SSU rRNA". It matches the Rfam family "Bacterial small subunit ribosomal RNA", at positions 56 to 589 of the family's 1533-position model. Lineage: Bacteria; Pseudomonadati; Pseudomonadota; Alphaproteobacteria; Hyphomicrobiales; Methylobacteriaceae. The record is from RNAcentral.
UGCAAGUCGAGCGGGCACCUUCGGGUGUCAGCGGCAGACGGGUGAGUAACACGUGGGAACGUACCCUUCGGUUCGGAAUAACGCUGGGAAACUAGCGCUAAUACCGGAUACGCCCUUAUGGGGAAAGGUUUACUGCCGAAGGAUCGGCCCGCGUCUGAUUAGCUAGUUGGUGGGGUAACGGCCUACCAAGGCGACGAUCAGUAGCUGGUCUGAGAGGAUGAUCAGCCACACUGGGACUGAGACACGGCCCAGACUCCUACGGGAGGCAGCAGUGGGGAAUAUUGGACAAUGGGCGCAAGCCUGAUCCAGCCAUGCCGCGUGAGUGAUGAAGGCCUUAGGGUUGUAAAGCUCUUUUGUCCGGGACGAUAAUGACGGUACCGGAAGAAUAAGCCCCGGCUAACUUCGUGCCAGCAGCCGCGGUAAUACGAAGGGGGCUAGCGUUGCUCGGAAUCACUGGGCGUAAAGGGCGCGUAGGCGGCCAUUCAAGUC